Molecule: ribosomal RNA, 348 nt
Filed under: uncultured bacterium
Lineage: Bacteria
Description: partial 16S ribosomal RNA
Rfam family: Bacterial small subunit ribosomal RNA
Source: RNAcentral
CCUACGGGAGGCAGCAGUGGGGAAUAUUGCACAAUGGGGGAAACCCUGAUGCAGCGACGCCGCGUGAGUGAAGAAGUAUUUCGGUACGUAAAGCUCUAUCAGCAGGGAAGAAAAUGACGGUACCUGACCAAGAAGCCCCGGCUAACUACGUGCCAGCAGCCGCGGUAAUACGUAGGGGGCAAGCGUGAUCCGGAUUUACUGGGUGUAAAGGGAGCGUAGACGGCAGCGCAAGUCUGGAGUGAAAUGCCGGGGCCCAACCCCGGAACUGCUUUGGAAACUGUGCAGCUGGAGUGCAGGAGAGGUAAGCGGAAUUCCUCGUGUCGCGGUGGAGUGCGUCGAUGUUAGGGG